GACGAACGCUGGCGGCGUGCUUAACACAUGCAAGUCGAACGGAAAGGCCCUGCUUUUGUGGGGUGCUCGAGUGGCGAACGGGUGAGUAACACGUGAGUAACCUGCCCUUGACUUUGGGAUAACUUCAGGAAACUGGGGCUAAUACCGGAUAGGAGAUCCUGCUGCAUGGUGGGGGUUGAAAAGUUGCGGCGGUUGGGGAUGGACUCGCGGAGUAUCAUCUUGUUGGUGGGGUAGUGGCGUACCAAGGCGUUGCCGGGUGGCCGGCCUGAGAGGGUGACCGGCCCCAUAGGGACUGAGAAACGGCCCGGAGUCCUACGGGGGGCAGCAGUGGAGGAUAUUGCACAAUGGGCGGAAGCCUGAUGCAGCAACGUCGCGUGCGGGAUGACUGCCUUCGGGGUGUAAACCGCUUGCGCCUGUGACGAAGCGUGAGUGACGGUAAUGGGUAAAAAAGCACCGGCUAACUACGUG
RNAcentral lists this ribosomal RNA (468 nucleotides) under uncultured bacterium. Its description in RNAcentral is "partial 16S ribosomal RNA". It matches the Rfam family "Bacterial small subunit ribosomal RNA", at positions 28 to 507 of the family's 1533-position model. The record is from RNAcentral.